GACGAACGCUGGCGGCGUGCUUAACACAUGCAAGUCGAACGGGCCUGUCUUCUUUUUUGGGGGUGGGUUGAGUGGCGAACGGGUGAGUAUCACGUGAGUAACCUGCCCUUCGGUCCUGGAUAACCGCUUGAAAGGGCGGCUAAUACGGGGUGGUCCGGUUGGUCCGCAUGGGCUGGUCGGGAUAGAUUCACUGUUUUUGGUGUUUCGGCGGGGGAUGGGCUCGCGGCCUAUCAGCUUGUUGGUGGGGUGAUGGCCUACCAAGGCGGUGACGGGUAGCCGGCCUGAGAGGGUGGGCGGCCACACUGGGACUGAGAUACGGCCCAGACUCCUGCGGGAGGAAGCAGUGGGGGGUAUUGCACAAUGGGCGGAAGCCUGAUGCAGCGACGUCGCGUGAGGGAGGGAGGCCUUCGGGUUGUGAACCUCUGUUUCCGGUGGUGAAGGCCCUGUCCGUGUGGUGGGGUUGACGGUAGCCGGGGAUGAAGCGCCGGCUAACUACGUG
RNAcentral lists this ribosomal RNA (499 nucleotides) under uncultured bacterium. Its description in RNAcentral is "partial 16S ribosomal RNA". It matches the Rfam family "Bacterial small subunit ribosomal RNA", at positions 28 to 507 of the family's 1533-position model. The record is from RNAcentral.